RNAcentral lists this ribosomal RNA (856 nucleotides) under uncultured archaeon. RNAcentral describes it as "bacterial SSU rRNA". It matches the Rfam family "Archaeal small subunit ribosomal RNA", at positions 4 to 856 of the family's 1478-position model. The record is from RNAcentral.
CCGGUUGAUCCUGCCGGAGGCCAUUGCUAUUGGAGUCCGAUUUAGCCAUGCUAGUUGUACGAGUUUAGACUCGUAGCAGAUAGCUCAGUAACACGUGGCCAAACUACCCUCUGGAGCGCGACAACCUCGGGAAACUGAGGCUAAUCGUGCAUACCGCUCUCACGCUGGAAGUUGCGGAGAGCUCGAAACGCCUCCCGGCGCCAGAGGAUGUGGCUGCGGCCGAUUAGGUAGACGGUGGGGUAACGGCCCGCCGUGCCAGUAAUCGGUACGGGUUGUGAAGAGCAAGAGCCCGGAGACGGUAUCUGAGACAAGAUACCGGGCCCUACGGGGCGCAGCAGGCGCGAAACCUUUACACUGCACGCCAGUGCGAUAAGGGGACUCCAAGUGCGAGGGCAUAGAGCCCUCGCUUUUCACGACCGUAAGGAGGUCGUAGAAUAAGUGCUGGGCAAGACCGGUGCCAGCCGCCGCGGUAAUACCGGCAGCACGAGUGAUGGCCGCUCUUAUUGGGCCUAAAGCGUCCGUAGCUGGCCGCGCAAGUCCAUCGGGAAUUCCGCACGCUCAACGUGCGGGCGUCCGGUGGAAACUGCGUGGCUUGGGACCGGAAGAUCCAGAGGGUACGUCCGGGGUAGGAGUGAAAUCCUGUAAUCCUGGACGGACCACCGGUGGCGAAGCGCUCUGGAAAGGACGGAUCCGACGGUGAGGGACGAAAGCUCGGGUCACGAACCGGAUUAGAUACCCGGGUAGUCCGAGCUGUAAACGAUGUCUGCUAGGUGUGCCACAGGCUACGAGCCUGUGGUGUGCCGUAGGGAAGCCGUGAAGCAGACCGCCUGGGAAGUACGUCCGCAAGGAUGAAACU